RNAcentral lists this ribosomal RNA (429 nucleotides) under Triticum aestivum (bread wheat). RNAcentral's name for it is "partial small subunit ribosomal RNA". The record is from RNAcentral. Lineage: Eukaryota; Viridiplantae; Streptophyta; Magnoliopsida; Poales; Poaceae.
AUGCUACGGGAAGAUCAAGAUGAAGAAUUCCAUGAAGCAGACAUACUGUGGCCAGAUGCAGCCCAGGAUCCCGUGGUAGCUCAGGUGCACUACUCUCAGGACGACGGCGAUGAAGACGACGACGAGUACUCCGGCGAGGACCGCCGUCCGACCAAGGCGCCCAACCGGCAGAAAGCUUCUUCCCCCAUCGACAUCCCCGGAAAGACCGGUAGGGCUACUGGUGCAAAAGCGCCGGCUCAGCAGGCCGGGUUCAGCAAGUUCGGCGCGAGCCUUGCGGGCGCCGGCGGCGCCAGCGUGAUGAUCGGCAGCCAAGUCUUCGUGCCGCCGCACGUCAUCGUCGAUCGGAGGGCCAAGAGGGACACGGCGAUGCUGAUGCUCCUCGACGCGCCCAAGGUCGGGAGAGUGAGGGCGAUGGUGAUGCUCGAGUAG